GACGAACGCUGGCGGCGUGCUUAACACAUGCAAGUCGAGCGGUAAGGCCCUUUCGGGGGUACGACGAGCGGCGAACGGGUGAGUAACACGUGGGUGACCUGCCCUCAGCUCUGGGAUAAGCCUGGGAAACCGGGUCUAAUACCGGAUAUGACUCCAUGACGCAUGUUGUGGGGUGGAAAGCCUUGUGCGGCUGAGGAUGGGCCCGCGGCCUAUCAGCUUGUUGGUGGGGUGAUGGCCUACCAAGGCGACGACGGGUAGCCGGCCUGAGAGGGCGACCGGCCACACUGGGACUGAGACACGGCCCAGACUCCUACGGGAGGCAGCAGUGGGGAAUCUUGCGCAAUGGGCGAAAGCCUGACGCAGCGACGCCGCGUGAGGGAUGACGGCCUCGGUUGUAA
This 398-nucleotide ribosomal RNA is filed under the name uncultured bacterium. RNAcentral describes it as "bacterial SSU rRNA". It matches the Rfam family "Bacterial small subunit ribosomal RNA", at positions 28 to 428 of the family's 1533-position model. The record is from RNAcentral.